This 1346-nucleotide ribosomal RNA is filed under the name uncultured bacterium. RNAcentral describes it as "partial 16S ribosomal RNA". It matches the Rfam family "Bacterial small subunit ribosomal RNA", at positions 28 to 1381 of the family's 1533-position model. The record is from RNAcentral.
GACGAACGCUGGCGGCGUGCUUAACACAUGCAAGUCGAACGGAAAGGCCCUGCUUUUGUGGGGUGCUCGAGUGGCGAACGGGUGAGUUACACGUGAGUAACCUGCCCUUGACUUUGGGAUAACUUCAGGAAACUGGGGCUAAUACCGGAUAGGAGCUCCUGCUGCAUGGUGGGGGUUGGAAAGUUUCGGCGGUUGGGGAUGGACUCGCGGCUUAUCAGCUUGUUGGUGGGGUAGUGGCUUACCAAGGCUUUGACGGGUAGCCGGCCUGAGAGGGUGACCGGCCACAUUGGGACUGAGAUACGGCCCAGACUCCUACGGGAGGCAGCAGUGGGGAAUAUUGCACAAUGGGCGGAAGCCUGAUGCAGCAACGCCGCGUGCGGGAUGACGGCCUUCGGGUUGUAAACCGCUUUCGCCUGUGACGAAGCGUGAGUGACGGUAAUGGGUAAAGAAGCACCGGCUAACUACGUGCCAGCAGCCGCGGUGAUACGUAGGGUGCGAGCGUUGUCCGGAUUUAUUGGGCGUAAAGGGCUCGUAGGUGGUUGAUCGCGUCGGAAGUGUAAUCUUGGGGCUUAACCCUGAGCGUGCUUUCGAUACGGGUUGACUUGAGGAAGGUAGGGGAGAAUGGAAUUCCUGGUGGAGCGGUGGAAUGCGCAGAUAUCAGGAGGAACACCAGUGGCGAAGGCGGUUCUCUGGGCCUUUCCUGACGCUGAGGAGCGAAAGCGUGGGGAGCGAACAGGCUUAGAUACCCUGGUAGUCCACGCUGUAAACGGUGGGUACUAGGUGUGGGGUCCAUUCCACGGGUUCCGUGCCGUAGCUAACGCUUUAAGUACCCCGCCUGGGGAGUACGGCCGCAAGGCUAAAACUCAAAGGAAUUGACGGGGCCCCGCACAAGCGGCGGAGCAUGCGGAUUAAUUCGAUGCAACGCGUAGAACCUUACCUGGGUUUGACAUGGAUCGGGAGUGCUCAGAGAUGGGUGUGCCUCUUUUGGGGUCGGUUCACAGGUGGUGCAUGGCUGUCGUCAGCUCGUGUCGUGAGAUGUUGGGUUAAGUCCCGCAACGAGCGCAACCCUUGUUCACUGUUGCCAGCACGUUAUGGUGGGGACUCAGUGGAGACCGCCGGGGUCAACUCGGAGGAAGGUGGGGAUGACGUCAAGUCAUCAUGCCCCUUAUGUCCAGGGCUUCACGCACGCUACAAUGGCUGGUACAGAGAGUGGCGAGCCUGUGAGGGUGAGCGAAUCUCGGAAAGCCGGUCUCAGUUCGGAUUGGGGUCUGCAACUCGACCUCAUGAAGUCGGAGUCGCUAGUAAUCGCAGAUCAGCAACGCUGCGGUGAAUACGUUCCCGGGGCU